CCCUCGGCUGACGGCUCAGUAACACGUGGACAAUCUGCCCUCAGGUGGGGGAUAAUCUCGGGAAACUGAGGAUAAUAUCCCAUAGGUAUCCUUUGCUGGAACGCUUGGAUGCUGAAAGCCCAAAGCGCCUGAGGAUGAGUCUAUGGCCUAUCAGGUAGUAGUGGGUGUAACGGACCCACUAGCCUGCGACGGGUACGGGCCUUGGAAGAGGUAGCCCGGAGAUGGACUCUGAGACACGAGUCCAGGCCCUACGGGGCGCAGCAGGCGCGAAAACUUCGCAAUGCGGGAAACCGUGACGAGGGAAUCCCGAGUGCUCAUGCAAUGCAUGGGCUUUUCUGAUGUGUAAAGAGCUUCAGGAAUAAGGGCUGGGUAGGACCGGUGCCAGCCGCCGCGGUAAUACCGGCAGCCCGAGUGGUAGUCGCUUUUAUUGGGCCUACAGCGUCCGUAGCCGGUCAGGUAAAUCCUUGGGUAAAUCGUACAGCUCAACUGUGCGGAUUCCGGGGAGACUGCCUGACUUGGGACCGGGAGAGGUUGGAGGUACUCCUGAGGUAGGGGUGAAAUCCUAUAAUCUUAGGAGGACCACCAGUGGCGAAGGCGGUCGGCUAGAACGCGCUCGACGGUGAGGGACGAAAGCUGGGGGAGCGAUCCGGAUUAGAUACCCGGGUAGUCCCAGCUGUAAACUAUGCAGGCUAGGUGUUGGCGUGACCACGAGUCACGUCAGUGCCGCAGGGAAGCUGUUAAGCCUGCCGCCUGGGGAGUACGGUCGCAAGACUGAAACUUAAAGGAAUUGGCGGGGGAGCACCACAAGGGGUGAAGCUUGCGGUUCAAUUGGAGUCAACACCGGGAACCUUACCGGGGAAGACAGCAGAUUGAAGGCCAGAUUAAAGGUCUUGCCAGACAAGCUGAGAGGAGGUGCAUGGCCGUCGCCAGUUCGUGCCGUGAGGUGUCCUGUUAAGUCAGGCAACGAUCGAGACCCACACCUCUUGUUGCCAGCGGUACUCCGGAAGGAGAUCGGGCACACUAGAGGGACUGCCGCCGA
This 1039-nucleotide ribosomal RNA is filed under the name uncultured archaeon. RNAcentral's name for it is "partial 16S ribosomal RNA". It matches the Rfam family "Archaeal small subunit ribosomal RNA", at positions 75 to 1114 of the family's 1478-position model. The record is from RNAcentral.